AAAUGAAUAAAUUAACAUAAUAGACUAAUAAUAUAACUCAACAAACUCAAUUAUAACAUACAAUUUUGUAUUUUCAGUUAUAAAAAAGAUUCUCAACCGAAAAAUACCCUAAAAAUAUAGCGAUCUUCAGAGAAAUUAUAUAAUACAUAUGAAUACAUAAAUUAUAUUAAUUCAUGACAUGUAGCGAGAUAGUGAAUACAAUGAAAUACAUAGAAUACAGUGGCAUACAUUGAAAUACAACGAGAUACAUUGAAAUAUAUUAACAGAAAUUCAAGUUGCUCAGCCCCAAACUCCGUCGUCUUUGUUCAAGAUGUCAUCUCGUCGAGCUGGAGGAUAAGUAGAACCAAAUCAAGAACCCCAAAAAAGGUUCCUUCUCCCUAGAUUUCCUCUUUUCCUCUCAAUUUCUACUCCAAAAUGGAGAAAAUCGCUAUUUCUACUCAUUUAUGCCCUAGCUUAAGCCUUUCAAUUCUAUUUCAAGUUCAGAUGCAGGGUUUUCCUUGUCUUGCCUCACUUAUGUAUUGCCCAAUCAACGCAGAAAGAUAUUGACUUGAACAACUUCAGUUGAACAACUUCUAAAGGUUUGCAUAGCUUCAGUUGCAGUUUAGUUCUAAAAUUAAACGGAUGAUAUUUUCUUGAGUUGGGACGGGACUGCUUAACACUGGUUCUGAUUGAAUACUGAGGAGUAUUCAUGGAUUCGGCUACUAAAACCGAUCGAGAGUUUAUAGGCUUUGUGCAUAUGGUUGAAAUGCUUAAGGUGGAAGAUGAGAGAGGAGGAGAAUAAAUAUGGGACAAGGGAUACGAUAAAUUUAAUAGAAGAGACAAAAUAAUACAAAGUUUAUUUUAUGGCUUAUGGGUAAGUGAUAACCAUAAAUAGAUAUUUGGCUAUAAAAAAUAAAAAGUUAGCUAUGGAAUAUAAUUUUUAAAAAAGUAUUUACUUAAAAUAAAUAAAAUAUCAACCUCUACUAUAUAAAGUAAAAAUUUCAACAAAAUUUGCAGCAUCCCCUGAACGAGAGUUCGAU
Molecule: long non-coding RNA, 1019 nt
Filed under: Nicotiana benthamiana
Lineage: Eukaryota; Viridiplantae; Streptophyta; Magnoliopsida; Solanales; Solanaceae
Description: long non-coding RNA (NBEN_LNC014491)
Source: RNAcentral